UUAAGCGACUAAGCGUACACGGUGGAUGCCCUGGCAGUCAGAGGCGAUGAAGGACGUGCUAAUCUGCGAUAAGCGUCGGUGAGGUGAUAUGAACCGUUAUAACCGGCGAUUUCCGAAUGGGGAAACCCAGUGUGUUUCGACACACUAUCAUUAACUGAAUCCAUAGGUUAAUGAGGCGAACCGGGGGAACUGAAACAUCUAAGUACCCCGAGGAAAAGAAAUCAACCGAGAUUCCCCCAGUAGCGGCGAGCGAACGGGGAGGAGCCCAGAGCCUGAAUCAGUGUGUGUGUUAGUGGAAGCGUCUGGAAAGGCGUGCGAUACAGGGUGACAGCCCCGUACACAAAAAUGCACAUAUUGUGAGCUCGAUGAGUAGGGCGGGACACGUGGUAUCCUGUCUGAAUAUGGGGGGACCAUCCUCCAAGGCUAAAUACUCCUGACUGACCGAUAGUGAACCAGUACCGUGAGGGAAAGGCGAAAAGAACCCCGGCGAGGGGAGUGAAAAAGAACCUGAAACCGUGUACGUACAAGCAGUGGGAGCCUCUUAAUGGGGUGACUGCGUACCUUUUGUAUAAUGGGUCAGCGACUUAUAUUCUGUAGCAAGGUUAACCGAAUAGGGGAGCCGAAGGGAAACCGAGUCUUAACUGGGCGUUAAGUUGCAGGGUAUAGACCCGAAACCCGGUGAUCUAGCCAUGGGCAGGUUGAAGGUUGGGUAACACUAACUGGAGGACCGAACCGACUAAUGUUGAAAAAUUAGCGGAUGACUUGUGGCUGGGGGUGAAAGGCCAAUCAAACCGGGAGAUAGCUGGUUCUCCCCGAAAGCUAUUUAGGUAGCGCCUCGUGAAUUCAUCUCCGGGGGUAGAGCACUGUUUCGGCAAGGGGGUCAUCCCGACUUACCAACCCGAUGCAAACUGCGAAUACCGGAGAAUGUUAUCACGGGAGACACACGGCGGGUGCUAACGUCCGUCGUGAAGAGGGAAACAACCCAGACCGCCAGCUAAGGUCCCAAAGUCAUGGUUAAGUGGGAAACGAUGUGGGAAGGCCCAGACAGCCAGGAUGUUGGCUUAGAAGCAGCCAUCAUUUAAAGAAAGCGUAAUAGCUCACUGGUCGAGUCGGCCUGCGCGGAAGAUGUAACGGGGCUAAACCAUGCACCGAAGCUGCGGCAGCGACACUAUGUGUUGUUGGGUAGGGGAGCGUUCUGUAAGCCUGUGAAGGUGGCCUGUGAGGGUUGCUGGAGGUAUCAGAAGUGCGAAUGCUGACAUAAGUAACGAUAAAGCGGGUGAAAAGCCCGCUCGCCGGAAGACCAAGGGUUCCUGUCCAACGUUAAUCGGGGCAGGGUGAGUCGACCCCUAAGGCGAGGCCGAAAGGCGUAGUCGAUGGGAAACAGGUUAAUAUUCCUGUACUUGGUGUUACUGCGAAGGGGGGACGGAGAAGGCUAUGUUGGCCGGGCGACGGUUGUCCCGGUUUAAGCGUGUAGGCUGGUUUUCCAGGCAAAUCCGGAAAACCAAGGCUGAGGCGUGAUGACGAGGCACUACGGUGCUGAAGCGACAAAUGCCCUGCUUCCAGGAAAAGCCUCUAAGCAUCAGGUAACAUCAAAUCGUACCCCAAACCGACACAGGUGGUCAGGUAGAGAAUACCAAGGCGCUUGAGAGAACUCGGGUGAAGGAACUAGGCAAAAUGGUGCCGUAACUUCGGGAGAAGGCACGCUGAUAUGUAGGUGAAGCGACUUGCUCGUGGAGCUGAAAUCAGUCGAAGAUACCAGCUGGCUGCAACUGUUUAUUAAAAACACAGCACUGUGCAAACACGAAAGUGGACGUAUACGGUGUGACGCCUGCCCGGUGCCGGAAGGUUAAUUGAUGGGGUUAGCGGCAACGCGAAGCUCUUGAUCGAAGCCCCGGUAAACGGCGGCCGUAACUAUAACGGUCCUAAGGUAGCGAAAUUCCUUGUCGGGUAAGUUCCGACCUGCACGAAUGGCGUAAUGAUGGCCAGGCUGUCUCCACCCGAGACUCAGUGAAAUUGAACUCGCUGUGAAGAUGCAGUGUACCCGCGGCAAGACGGAAAGACCCCGUGAACCUUUACUAUAGCUUGACACUGAACAUUGAGCCUUGAUGUGUAGGAUAGGUGGGAGGCUUUGAAGUGUGGACGCCAGUCUGCAUGGAGCCGACCUUGAAAUACCACCCUUUAAUGUUUGAUGUUCUAACGUUGGCCCGUAAUCCGGGUUGCGGACAGUGUCUGGUGGGUAGUUUGACUGGGGCGGUCUCCUCCUAAAGAGUAACGGAGGAGCACGAAGGUUGGCUAAUCCUGGUCGGACAUCAGGAGGUUAGUGCAAUGGCAUAAGCCAGCUUGACUGCGAGCGUGACGGCGCGAGCAGGUGCGAAAGCAGGUCAUAGUGAUCCGGUGGUUCUGAAUGGAAGGGCCAUCGCUCAACGGAUAAAAGGUACUCCGGGGAUAACAGGCUGAUACCGCCCAAGAGUUCAUAUCGACGGCGGUGUUUGGCACCUCGAUGUCGGCUCAUCACAUCCUGGGGCUGAAGUAGGUCCCAAGGGUAUGGCUGUUCGCCAUUUAAAGUGGUACGCGAGCUGGGUUUAGAACGUCGUGAGACAGUUCGGUCCCUAUCUGCC
Molecule: ribosomal RNA, 2618 nt
Filed under: Escherichia coli UMEA 3161-1
Lineage: Bacteria; Pseudomonadati; Pseudomonadota; Gammaproteobacteria; Enterobacterales; Enterobacteriaceae
Description: bacterial LSU rRNA
Rfam family: Bacterial large subunit ribosomal RNA
Source: RNAcentral